GAUGAAGAACGCAGCGAAAUGCGAUAAGUAAUGUGAAUUGCAGAAUUCAGUGAAUCAUCGAAUCUUUGAACGCACAUUGCGCCCGCCAGUAUUCUGGCGGGCAUGCCUGUUUGAGCGUCAUUACAACCCUCAGGCCCCCGGGCCUGGCGUUGGGGAUCGGCGGAAGCCCCCUGCGGGCACAACGCCGUCCCCCAAAUACAGUGGCGGUCCCGCCGCAGCUUCCAUUGCGUAGUAGCUAACACCUCGCAACUGGAGAGCGGCGCGGCCACGCCGUAAAACACCCAACUUCUGAAUGUUGACCUCGAAUCAGGUAGGAAUACCCGCUGAACUUAAGCAUAUCAAUAAGCGGAGGA
RNAcentral lists this unclassified non-coding RNA (353 nucleotides) under soil metagenome. Its description in RNAcentral is "partial contains 5.8S ribosomal RNA, internal transcribed spacer 2, and large subunit ribosomal RNA". The stretch from base 1 to 120 matches the Rfam family "5.8S ribosomal RNA", at positions 35 to 154 of the family's 154-position model. The record is from RNAcentral.